Molecule: ribosomal RNA, 468 nt
Filed under: uncultured bacterium
Lineage: Bacteria
Description: partial 16S ribosomal RNA
Rfam family: Bacterial small subunit ribosomal RNA
Source: RNAcentral
GACGAACGCUGGCGGCGUGCUUAACACAUGCAAGUCGAACGGAAAGGCCCCAGCUUGGUGGGGUGCACGAGUGGCGAACGGGUGAGUAACACGUGAGUGACCUGCCCUUGACUUUGGGAUAAGUUCGGGAAACUGGGGCUAAUACCGGAUAGGAGCUUGGGGUGGAUAGUGGGGGGGGGAGAGUUUCCGCGGUGGGAGAUGGACUCGCGGUUUAUCAGCUUGUUGGUGGGGUAGUGGCAUACAAAGGCUGAGAGGGGUAGCCGGCCUGAGAGGGGGGACGGCCACAUUGGGACUGAGAAACGGCCCAGACUCCUACGGGAGGCAGCAGUGGGGAAUAUUGCACAAUGGGCGGAAGCCUGAUGCAGCGACGCCGCGUGGGGGAUGACGGCCUUCGGGUUGUAAACUCCUUUCACCAUCGACGAAGGGUUUCUGACGGUAGAUGGAGAAGAAGCACCGGCUAACUACGUG